CACAUCCGCUGGGUGCGUACACGGGUCAUUCCCGAUGUACUGAGAAAGAACCUUUGAACCUGUUAGGGUAAUACCUGCGUAGGGAAGCGGUGCGAAAAUUUG
Molecule: non-coding RNA, 102 nt
Filed under: Clostridium sp.
Lineage: Bacteria; Bacillati; Bacillota; Clostridia; Eubacteriales; Clostridiaceae
Also listed under: 1 other name
Description: TPP sequence
Rfam family: TPP riboswitch aptamer (THI element)
About the family: Vitamin B(1) in its active form thiamin pyrophosphate (TPP) is an essential coenzyme that is synthesised by coupling of pyrimidine and thiazole moieties in bacteria. The previously detected thiamin-regulatory element, thi box was extended, resulting in a new, highly conserved RNA secondary structure, the THI element, which is widely distributed in eubacteria and also occurs in some archaea. Analysis of operon structures identified a large number of new candidate thiamin-regulated genes, mostly transporters, in various prokaryotic organisms.
Source: RNAcentral